Molecule: ribosomal RNA, 373 nt
Filed under: uncultured bacterium
Lineage: Bacteria
Description: bacterial SSU rRNA
Rfam family: Bacterial small subunit ribosomal RNA
Source: RNAcentral
UAAUACGGAGGAUCCGAGCGUUAUCCGGAUUUAUUGGGUUUAAAGGGAGCGUAGAUGGAUGUUUAAGUCAGUUGUGAAAGUUUGCGGCUCAACCGUAAAAUUGCAGUUGAUACUGGAUGUCUUGAGUGCAGUUGAGGCAGGCGGAAUUCGUGGUGUAGCGGUGAAAUGCUUAGAUAUCACGAAGAACUCCGAUUGCGAAGGCAGCCUGCUAAGCUGCAACUGACAUUGAGGCUCGAAAGUGUGGGUAUCAAACAGGAUUAGAUACCCUGGUAGUCCACACGGUAAACGAUGAAUACUCGCUGUUUGCGAUAUACGGCAAGCGGCCAAGCGAAAGCGUUAAGUAUUCCACCUGGGGAGUACGCCGGCAACGGUG